AGAAAGCAAGGGCUGGCUCAUGUGAGUAAAGGCUUCAGGAGCGAGAGCAGAACUACACCUCAGCAUCCCUCAAUCCUCACUCUAUACAAUUAUGAAAUAACUUGCAGAGCAGCAAGAUCUCUUGCAGAAUACACAAAGAUGAUGCAAGAAUCCUGUUUUGGAAUAUUAAUUGUCACAAUGGACAAGACACCCACAGAUAAGAUAAGGGGAAUUUCAUGCAAAAGCUAAGUGACUAUGUGCAAGAUUCGUUGCUAAGCAGGUCAAUCUUAAUCACUGGAACUCAGAAAACAAUAUUGA
Pelodiscus sinensis (Chinese soft-shelled turtle) is the source of this 297-nucleotide non-coding RNA. Lineage: Eukaryota; Metazoa; Chordata; Testudines; Trionychidae. The record is from RefSeq and is a predicted model, not a curated record.